UACAGGGGGUGCAAACGUUGCUCGGAAUCAUUGGGCGUAAAGCGCACGUAGGCGGUUCGUUAUGUCGGAUGUGAAAGCCCUUGGCUUAACCGAGGAAGUGCAUCCGAAACUGGCGAGCUAGAGUACGAAAGAGGAUCGCGGAAUUCCCGGUGUAGAGGUGAAAUUCGUAGAUAUCGGGAGGAACACCGGUGGCGAAGGCGGCGAUCUGGGUCGAUACUGACGCUGAGGUGCGAAAGCGUGGG
This 242-nucleotide ribosomal RNA is filed under the name uncultured bacterium. RNAcentral's name for it is "partial 16S ribosomal RNA". It matches the Rfam family "Bacterial small subunit ribosomal RNA", at positions 524 to 765 of the family's 1533-position model. The record is from RNAcentral.